AUUGAACGCUGGCGGGAUGCUUUACACAUGCAAGUCGAACGGAGUGGCUGACGGGUGAGUAAUAUAUCGGAACGUGCCCAGUAGCGGGGGAUAACUACUCGAAAGGGUGGCUAAUACCGCAUACUAUUUGAUGGGCCGAUAUCGGAUUAGCUAGUUGGGGGGGUAACGGCUCACCAAGGCAACGAUCCCUAGCUGGUUUGAGAGGACGACCAGCCACACUGGGGCUGAGACACGGCCCAGACUCCUGCGGGAGGCAGCAGUGGGGAAUUUUGGACAAUGGGCGAAACCCUGAUGCAGCCAUCCCGCGUGUAUGAUGAAGGCCUUCGGGUUGUAAAGUACUUUUGGCAGAGAAGCGGUACCCGCAGAAUAAGCACCGGCUAACUACGUGCCAGCAGCCGCGGUAAUUC
RNAcentral lists this ribosomal RNA (407 nucleotides) under uncultured bacterium. Its description in RNAcentral is "partial 16S ribosomal RNA". It matches the Rfam family "Bacterial small subunit ribosomal RNA", at positions 30 to 526 of the family's 1533-position model. The record is from RNAcentral.